CAAGACGGCAGUGUGGUGCUUGCGCUCUCACUCAGCAACAGGCAAUUAGCUGGAGCCAUGACUGUUGGUGAUGUUCUUUCCUUCCAGAAGAUGUCUGGAAACCUUUCACUAUAUGGUCAUACAGCUUUCACACAAUGGACCAGAAAAGGUAUCAAUGAAGUGGAGGGUAAGACAAGUACAGAACAUCCAGACAAUUUUUUUUUUUUUUUUUUCUUCUGAGUAUCAUGUUCCCAGAAGUCAUCCUUCCUGGCAUUCACAUUGUGGAGGUAUCAUACAGCAACACUGGAAGUAUUCUCAUUGUGUCCAGUAUCUUAUGAGGAAUCCAGUUCUCAGCACUACCUCAUUCCUCAUCUAA
RNAcentral lists this long non-coding RNA (355 nucleotides) under Anas platyrhynchos platyrhynchos (common mallard). RNAcentral's name for it is "lncRNA (ENSAPLG00000027577.1)". The record is from RNAcentral. Lineage: Eukaryota; Metazoa; Chordata; Aves; Anseriformes; Anatidae.